This is a long non-coding RNA of Syngnathus acus (greater pipefish), 563 nucleotides long. RefSeq lists it as uncharacterized. Lineage: Eukaryota; Metazoa; Chordata; Actinopteri; Syngnathiformes; Syngnathidae. The transcript has 2 exons. The record is from RefSeq and is a predicted model, not a curated record.
CGCCCGUCGGCGGGGCCGUGGGUGGCAGUACCUCGUCGACUGGGAUGGCUACGGACCCGAGGACCGGUCGUGGGUGCCCCGUUCCUACAUCUGCGAUCCAACCCUCAUCUCGGACUACUGGUCAUCGCUACCGUCUUCCUCUUCUGGGCCGAUGGGGAGCGGCCGUUGAGGGGGGGGGGGUGUCAGGGUCCGGGGUGGUGUAGCUCCUUUUUUCCACAGGGAGCAACCAUGAGCAGAGUGGCAGAGGUCCCAGGUGCGGCUCAUCAGGCUCGUUAGAGGAGGGCUCUUAAGGAGCACGCUGUCAACCGCUCGUCGCCGGAGUGUCCUACCUGUUGUGAUCACCUCCACAGUUGUGCCUCUAGCUCCUCGAAACCCUCUUGCUCAUCGACGCCACCUUCUCCUGAUCCUCCGAUUCCCUCCACGGCUCACCGCCAAGAUCCACCCCGUCUGGCUGAACUCCACACGCUCCGCCGUUGCCGCUCCCGCUCCUUGCUCCUGGCUCAGAUCCUCCCGCUCAGCCUCCACCGCAUCUCCUCUAAUAAACACUCAUCACUCAUUCUGAA